UACGGGGGGUGCGAGCGUUAAUCGGAAUAACUGGGCGUAAAGGGCACGCAGGCGGACUUUUAAGUGAGGUGUGAAAUCCCCGGGCUUAACCUGGGAAUUGCCUUUCAUACUGGGAGUCUAGAAUACUUUAGGGAGGGGUAGAAUUCCGCGUGUAGCGGUGAAAUUCGUAGAGAUGUGGAGGAAUACCGAAGGCGAAGGCAGCCGCUUGGGAAUGUUCUGACGCUCAUGUGCGAAAGCGUGGGGAGCAAACAGG
Molecule: ribosomal RNA, 253 nt
Filed under: uncultured bacterium
Lineage: Bacteria
Description: partial 16S ribosomal RNA
Rfam family: Bacterial small subunit ribosomal RNA
Source: RNAcentral